CGUGAGCGAAGAAGGCCUUCGGGUCGUAAAGCUCUGUCAAGUGGGAAAAAAGCCUUUCGGUUAAUACCCGGGAGGUCUGAUGGUACCACUGGAGGAAGCACCGGCUAACUCCGUGCCAGCAGCCGCGGUAAUACGGAGGGUGCAAGCGUUGUUCGGAUUUACUGGGCGUAAAGGGCGUGCAGGCGGUUUGGUAAGUCAGAUGUGAAAGCCCUGGGCUUAACCCGGGAAGUGCAUUUGAAACUGCCUUUCUUGAGUAUGGGAGAGGAGAGUGGAAUUCCCAGUGUAGAGGUGAAAUUCGUAGAUAUUGGGAGGAACACCCGUGGCGAAGGCGACUCUCUGGACCAAUACUGACGCUGAGACGCGAAAGCGUGGGGAGCAAACAGGAUUAGAUACCCUGGUAGUCCACGCUGUAAACGAUGAGAACUAGGUGUAGCGGGUAUUGACCCCUGCUGUGCCGCAGUUAACGCAUUAA
This 472-nucleotide ribosomal RNA is filed under the name uncultured delta proteobacterium. RNAcentral describes it as "bacterial SSU rRNA". It matches the Rfam family "Bacterial small subunit ribosomal RNA", at positions 400 to 863 of the family's 1533-position model. Lineage: Bacteria; Deltaproteobacteria. The record is from RNAcentral.